Molecule: unclassified non-coding RNA, 1017 nt
Filed under: Hevea brasiliensis (rubber tree)
Lineage: Eukaryota; Viridiplantae; Streptophyta; Magnoliopsida; Malpighiales; Euphorbiaceae
Source: RNAcentral
GAGGAAGGUGAUUAUGCAUUAAUUAUAUAACCCAGUAUUAACACAGUAAACAGAGACAGGGUAACUUCACAGCAAAUGAACAAUCUUGUGUCCGCAAAAUGAACUGAACAUCUUCCCUCUGAUAUCUUCAAUGUCUACCCACACAUCGAAGUCAAAUACUCAGUUACUAGAUUUUCUGAAAGUAACAAGCAUCAUCUAAAAACUACCACCCCUCAAAGCAAGCACAAGAUGAAGCACAGAGCCGCCCUCAAUGUUGUAGUCACGAGCCGUUUUGUCAUCCCCAAGCUGCUUCCCAGCAUAAAUAAGUCUGAAACCAGAAACAAGUCUCAGUGACAGAAUGACUUUGUAAUCUAUAUGAGAACAUAAAAAAGUAGCUUUGUGAACAGAUUGAAACUAGCAACUGUGACAAAUUAACAAGGCUCUGCCUCACUCAUUAUGCAGCAUGUAGUGAUACUAAGUUGAAUUUAUUGAGGUGAUAUUUAGAUUAACCAUACUUCUUAAUAUGGAUUCCAUACCAGAAGGAUAAACAAAUGGCUGUUCUAGGUUCAGAUAAUUUAGGUGCAACUGAAAUUUUAUAUAGUAUGUGCAAUACUAAAGAUGUUCAAGGUAAUGAUCUUUUUUUUUUUUUUUAGGUAAUGAUCUAUUAAAGAAGCAAUUCUGUAAAACAAUGAUUUACUUUAGCACUUCGUAGCAUAAAUAGAAUAAGAUCAAAAUUGUUACCUUUGCUGCACUGGAGGAAUGCCUUCUUUCUCCUCAACUCGUUCCUUGAUCCAAUCGAUGGUAUCAGUGGGUUCAAUGUCAAUUUCAAUCUCUUUUCCAGUGAGAGUCUUUACCUUGAUCAUAGUUCCUCCCCUAAGCCUCAGAACCAGGUGAAGUGUUGACUCCUUCUGGAUGUUAUAAUCAGCAAGAGUUCGGCCAUCUUCCAAUUGCUUACCAGCAAAAAUUAAUCUCUGCUGGUCAGGAGGAAUACCUUCCUUGUCCUGGAUCUUGGCUUUGACAUUAUCGAUGGUAUCACUG